GAGGAGUUUGAAUCCUCCCGUGGUUGUAAGAUUGGUUGUUUAGAUCCUGCCAGAGCUUUUUACCGUGUGUGCAGUUCUGGCGGGUCGCCGGUUUAUAAGCUUUUUGUGUGUGUGUGUGUGUGUGUGUGUGUGUGUGUGUGUGGUUUGGCGAACUGAAGAGCUGACGGUUUCCCGGUUUUACAACUGUUUAACUUGCUACUGGUCGUUCACAUCAAUGAUGUAAUGAUGACAAAACCUUCAUACAAACUCGAUGUUUUAAUACCGUCGAUCUGUAUUCAGCUGUUCUCAGGUCGGCUGCAGACAUUUAUCCUCUUUUACAUUUUUCCAGACUCCAGUUUG
Xiphophorus hellerii (green swordtail) is the source of this 339-nucleotide long non-coding RNA. RefSeq lists it as uncharacterized. The transcript has 2 exons. The record is from RefSeq and is a predicted model, not a curated record. NCBI's taxonomy places the organism in Eukaryota, Metazoa, Chordata, Actinopteri, Cyprinodontiformes, Poeciliidae.